GCCUGGUAUGUGCCUGUAAUCCCAGCUCCAGAGGAGGCUGAGGCAGGAGGAUCACUUGAACUCUGGAAUUUAAGACCAAUCUGGGCAACAUAGUGAGAUCCUAUCUCAA
RNAcentral lists this small RNA (109 nucleotides) under Marmota monax (woodchuck). The record is from RNAcentral. Lineage: Eukaryota; Metazoa; Chordata; Mammalia; Rodentia; Sciuridae.